GUUCCUGUAACGCAAUAAAUAGCGCAUUGGACAUAUAAUCCAAAGGUUGUGGGUUCGACUCCCACCUGGGAUG
This is a non-coding RNA of Trichonephila clavipes, 73 nucleotides long. NCBI's taxonomy places the organism in Eukaryota, Metazoa, Arthropoda, Arachnida, Araneae, Nephilidae. The record is from the annotation of a GenBank genome assembly.